Molecule: long non-coding RNA, 2881 nt
Organism: Alligator mississippiensis (American alligator)
Lineage: Eukaryota; Metazoa; Chordata; Crocodylia; Alligatoridae
Exons: 3
Source: RefSeq, a predicted model, not a curated record
UCAUCUAGACAGAGAUGGGGGAGGAUGUUGGUGUGAGCUACCUCUAAGAGAAAGCUAGAGCUAGCAGCAGGAGAUGUUUGAUGUUACUAUGUAUUGUGCUGUAAAGAGAAGACUGGGACUCAAGAGCUAGCAGCAAUGUUGAGUCAGAGAAACAAGAAACCAAGGAAAUGAAGUAACCUCAUGUGGACCAAAAGUUCGGGGACUAUGCAACGAUCUGGGAAAUGAGGGAGCCUGGAAACACUUGACGUGGCAACUAGAACAUCACAGGUGGUAGUGGACUAUGCAGGUGCUAUAUGGAUUUGAGCAAAACUCAGAUCAGUGCCACUACAUUUAAUAAAAGGAAUGACCCAUUUCUCUCAUGCUUUAUCAAGAAAUUGCCUUUCAACUGUAGCUUUCCAGGAGGACCUGAGCUGAACAAGUCUUUUUUUUCUUGUCAUGAUCAUGAGAAAACGCACCUGUGAUUUAUCUGCAUCACUUAUCAAAGGGAACUAUCAAGACUCAUUCAUCUUUGUAUAUACAACACUCCAGGGGAAGCCCCGGGAACGCUGGACUGCCAGGGGAACGGUGCUGUGCUCCAGAGAAUAGGCUCGGGAUUGAUUUUAGGAGAUUGUGUUCACCUGGUUUCUUAUUGUCUGGUUAAUCUCAAUCUGCUGUCAUAGUAGUGACAUGCGUUGGUCAUUGGAGAAUCCUGAAAUCAAAUGUGCCAUGAUCUGAAUCGAUGACAGUGUAAGAGAAACAGCACUCUGGGAGAUAUCAGCUACAGCUUUCUGGUAGCAUCAGCUUGUUAAUACAGAAGGCAGGUGAGAAAACGUACAUCCAGUAGGAUCCAAACUCCACCAGGGUCAACAGUAGUCUUUGCAUUAGCAUCAAGAGACUUUGGAUAGGACCUUGUUGCAAGAAUGUCCACAAUUCAUGUCCUUACUGUGGUAUUCUAGGGUGAGAUUUUUAUGAGGCUAGUGCCUUGUGUGCAGGUUAGAUGUUGAACACUUGAAAAUCUGGUCCUCACAGUUUGAUGUGGUAGACUCUUCCUCUGGCACUGACAGUGGCCAAAGGAUGAAGGGAAAGGCUGCUGUUGCUUCUUGAGGAGCUUAUGGCAUGUGCAAGAACUAGGUUGUGCAAGUGGAGCUACUUGUCCUAUUUCCAGCAGACUUGAUCAACCAGUCUUACAGUAGCACAGGGUUAAAACAGCGCUCCUCAAGCACAGGCUUAUUGUCAAGGCAACAAGAGAAUACAUUAAAGUUUUCUUCUGCCAUUCACCACAGUCAUGAUACCCUGGGGCAAAUCUUUGUAUGUGGCACUGGGAUGGGUGAUAGAAUAAAAUGCAGCUUCCAACACUUAGCCUGGUCCUGGGCAGAAUAACGGAUCUAACUGCAGUUAACAGCUCUGAUUUUUCAUUUUGUCUUUGCAGUAAUAAGAGCCUCUCUGAGAUCUUGGAUUAAGUUAAAUGGCUUUUGUGAUACCAGCUUGUGAGAUGUAGAGAAGCCAAAAGAACAGAUGGAAAAUUGGAGGGAAAAUGACAUAAGGAGAAGGAAGACGAUUGUUCUUCCAUGUUUCCUCUUUGAAAUAAAUGGAGCACUUUCCUCUGGGGAAGACUUCUCUGACCCCAGAGCUUUAGCUGAUGUACUGUGUUCCUACAGAUCCAAUCCAUGGAACCACGAUCGCCCUUUGUGGACUCAAAGAUCCCAUGGCUCUUCUCCUGAGAUAAGAGGAUAAAAACUGACUCCCAGGCUGAACAUCCAACAUCCUUUAAAGAAGUGCUACCCUUUGAAAUCUGGCCUAUGUUGUUUUUUUCCCCACACUUUUGGUGCCAAAUGGUUGUAUAAUGUUGUUGUGCCUGUAGCACAAGAGUUAGGUGCAUCCCAGUGGCAGUUCAGAGAAAACAGGGAUGUGAUUUGCAAUGUGUGGUGGGCUUCCUCAAGAGAGGAGUCAUGAGAGACGUUCCAGUUCUCUACAUUUAUAUUUGGGAGAAAAUUAAGCAAAGUUUGCAUGUUGGAGUUGGCUCUGACAAGAAGCCUUUUGCAAAUAUCCCUGGAGCUUUUGUUGCAUGCUUUUGUUAACGUGCCAUUUCACUGGAAUCAUCACCUUUCUGAACAGAUCUUCUUACAUAACUGAAAAGGUGAAAGAUGUUAGUAGCUCCUCCAGAGACGCAACAAGGCAACAUAAUGGAAAUAUCUACCUUCUGUUGGCAAUGGCAGACAUCACUGCCCAGGCCCAGAUAAAAGAAAUGAGGCACUGAGUUAUGGUGAAAGAGGAAAAGGAAUGAAGCAAGAGUGAGGGAGAUAAGAAAGCAAGAUGAAAUGAGACAAAGAGAAGGUGGAAGAUGGAGAUGGAAAAAGACCUGAAAAAGGUAAGACUUCUGCUUGUGCUUUCUCUCUGUUUCUGCCUUAGGUACCCAACAUUACAGUGCAGCAGCAGUGCAGCAUAGAAAGGGCUGUGUAGGGAAGAAAUGGGGCUAGGGACAGAAAUGACACAGAAACCGGUAUAAGUGAUCAGAAACUCGUUCAAAUCUGUAACACAACAGAAGUUCAGAGCACAUAAACUGCUUUCAAAAUAGCCAAAACCUGGUUAAGAUAAGCCUGGAUGGAUAUCAGACUUAACUGGUUUAGGUUAAGUCAGUUUAUUGAACUUCUGUCCUAGAUCCCCUCCAGAUUCAAGUUAACUGACUCCUGCAGAAUCCCAGGAUGCUUUGCACCUCCUCUGCAAACCUUCCCCUCCUCCCCCCAACAGGGCUAGCUUUGGUCCAAGCUGUCUGCUCCAGCCCAGCAGGGAGGUGUGCUCUAGCACCCCUUAGCUUCUGGCCUGCAGGCAUGUGGAUGCAUUUCAGGAAUCAAAAAUGAAUGUCUGUUCACUUGCUUAUCAAUUCAAUCUAUGCAGCUUACAC